GGGGAGUUCCGGGCAGCGGCACGGCCUCCGUCGCCCCCUCAGGGCCGGCGGGCGCUCGACGGCCCUUGCGCGCCGGGGUUGGUGCGCUGAGGGUGGCCGUUGGGCUCUGAGGAGAAGCCGCCGCGCCGCGGGUAGGCAGCCCUGUGAAGGGCAGAUAGGAGAGCGCUCGGCCUGAGCGCUCUCCGAACCCAGGCGCUGUGCUGGGCGGAGCCGCCUCAGGAGAGCCCGCACCGCAGGAGAAGAAAGGUUUGGGCCUCUGGAAAGAAAACACCUAGUCCUGAAGACCAUACCUUAUAUACAAGCCCACAUCCAAAUGCCUUCCCCAGGAUUUCAGCAGUGGUCAGCCUCUCCUCAGGUAACACUUCAUUUCAGGUAACAGUACUUUCUCAACAGGAGUGAAAACAGGCAUGUUCCUCUAAGCCACGCAGUCCACAAGAGGACACACCAUGUGGUGCUGUGUUUGCCUUAGAGGAACUGAGCUGGUUUUCCUUGUUUCACUAUGUGAAAUUGCCGUUUGAGUGACAUGGCAGCAACUGCAGAGAUUGUGGACCAAAAGGAAGUUUUUUAUAUCUCAGCGUUAUUUAAUGCUGAGAUAUAAAGUAAAAAAGUAAGUUCUUCUACCCAAAGCCUUGCACAUAUAGAUUCCUGCAGAAACUGGUACUCCUCCUUAGCUCCCCGAAGAAAUACAACAGUGUAAUAACCUCAACAGUCUAUCUUCAGAAAAAAAAUGCUGCAGCUUUUUUCCUCUCUACUUUUCUAAUUCCUUUCCUGUAAUCCUUUUUUUUUUUCUUUUUGCCUGUCAUCACUGAAAUCACAGUGUAUAUGAUAGAGGUUUAAUUUUCUUCUCAUAGGCAUGAAUAGGUACUUGAAACUCCUCCCCCAUUUCUUGUUGUUUGUUGGAAGAGCCUCCUUUGCCUUCAUCAUCGCAUGGUGUCCCUCAGUAACCAUGGCAGGUUGAAUACCUUAUACUGAAGUUCUCAGUACAAGGUGUUCAAUCUCCAUUUACUCUGUCAGUUUGAAGCUGCCUAAUUACAAAAGCAAUUGUAAUUACAUACCAUAGUAGUGUGAAAAACCCUCUAUAAUUGUAAAAUUUCAUAGCCUCAACUCAUUGUAAAAAUUCCUUGUUAAAAGUCACGUGAUAAAUUAAGUCCUGUGAAUAUGCUUUGGAAUGGCACCCAAUUAACUGAUUUAUUACAUACAUGGUUUUCUAAAAGGAAAUAAGCAGGUGCAAACUGCAAAAACAAUUCAGAGCUUUAUUGUAAAAUUAUCUGUAUUCUCAUUGACUGGAUGCUUCAGAGCCUUCUGAACUAGCGAAUGUGAACUCUGCUGAGAAGGGUCACAUGCAUCCAUCCCUUCAAAUGAAACCAGCAAACGAUCUAGAAAACCAUCAAAUAAUCAGGCUAGAUCAGAAUUUACAUUUAGAACUUUCCCAAUGAAUAGGUGCUGUGCAGAUUUAAAUGCUGGAUUAAUUCAUUAGAGGAGUAGCAAUGAAUUUUUAAUUACUAUCUAUUUAAAAUUCAGAAUACUUAGACUGUUCCAGGGAGAUCUUCAGAAGUUCUAUUACAUACAAAAUGCUCUAUUUAUUUCAAUGAAAUUUUUAUAGAGGCUGUGUAAAUCUAUUUAAAAUAAAGAGAUAUGUGAUAACAGGUGGAAA
This 1654-nucleotide long non-coding RNA is filed under the name Pavo cristatus (Indian peafowl). RNAcentral describes it as "lncRNA (ENSPSTG00000006356.1)". Lineage: Eukaryota; Metazoa; Chordata; Aves; Galliformes; Phasianidae. The record is from RNAcentral.